This is a long non-coding RNA of Rana temporaria (common frog), 2040 nucleotides long. RefSeq lists it as uncharacterized. The record is from RefSeq and is a predicted model, not a curated record. NCBI's taxonomy places the organism in Eukaryota, Metazoa, Chordata, Amphibia, Anura, Ranidae. The transcript is spliced from 5 exons.
CUAAAGGUAUGCAGGUCUCUCAGUCUCUGCAAUGGGCUGCUUCUGUGCUCUGCACGCCCCCUUCAGGAGGCCGGGGGGAACGGCAGCAGCUUCUCUCUGACGUCUCCCGAAUUUCUAGGAAUGCCCCUUCCCUGUUACUAUAUUUGGAGGUAGUUUCUAGGAAAAUAAUUUUCAGAGGAUCUGGACUUCAGUAGAGCUCCUUAUUCAGAACCAGUGAAAGGAUAUUUUUCUGUGUGUGCAGCAAAACUCUCAGCCUUUUUUUUUUAAAUAUGCUUUUUGGAUCAACAGCAUGAUUUGCAACAUUGUUGAAUGCAUUUAAAGGGCACUAAUGGGGAAAUGAAUAUGUGACUUGAAAAGCUCUAUCUACUUUUUGGAUGGCCUCUGCAGUCACCACUGGAUUCCUUUUUUUUUUUUUUCACCCCUGAUCUGGCCUCUGUGGCGUGACCAUGAUGAUGAAGAAGAAAUGUUACAGAAGCCUGGCAAUGUGAUCUUUAUGUAAUGAGUCAGGAUUCGCUAAAGGAAGGAGCAGGAGCUUUGGAGGAUCGACCUUCCCCAGCCAUAGGAAUUACAAGGCAGGGGAGAUGUGCAGCUCGUGCUCUCCCUUGGAUCUCUCUACACACUCUCAAGAAGAGAGGCAGUCUUCUGACUAUGACGAGCCUACACCCCAGCCUUCACUAGUGGUGGAGAACUUACUGUUUACAAAUUAAGGGCAGUGGUUAAAUGAACCGUCGAUUAGGUGGAGUUAAAACUCAGAAGUCUAAACAAAAGGAGUCUUCUACCUGAGUAGACUGCCCUGAAGAGAAGUAGAUGUGCCAUCUGACAGAUUGGUUGCUGGUUUGUGACUGAGAAAACGGACAACUUGCAGUCUUUGGAUGAGAGCUGCAUCGUUUCAUCUGAGCAGGGGAAUCGGAAACAAUUUUGAGCAGAAUGUAAGAGCUUCUUCUACACCAAGAUGUCUGAAAAUCACACAUACACUUGGGUAACAGUAUUCUGUUUAAAAAGGCCAAUCAUUCUGGAAUUUUCUUGUCUAAGAGUCAGGGAUCUUGUCAAUAGCAGCAGAAUGUGGUGAACCAACAUUUGGUACAAUGUGUACUUUACUUCUGCAUACCUGUGGCACUAUAUCUUUAGCUGACCUCUUGCCACCAAUAUGUGGGUAUGUUGUCAAUGCAUCCUGACAGCUGGAACUCUCCCAAGUCCCAGCAACACGUAGCAAUUAACAUCUGUGUUCUGCUGAAGAGUUUUUUUCUUUUGCAGACUUUGCCAGACCCUAAUUCUGUUUUUUAGAAUUUGUUAUGGAAUUUAUAAUGUAUGGUUUAUUUUCCCACAACAUUUUUGUGCUUAAAAGUUUUGGUGAGCUUAAUUUAAAGGGAUGUCAUCUUAAAAAAAAAAAAAUAAUACAUUUUCUGUUUUAUGGUUUGUUUAUUUUAAUAUGCACAUCAAUAUAUAUUAUGAUUUGUAUGUAAGAAGUACAGCAAUCCUUUUUUAUACAUUUGAAAAUUCAUGUUGUUCUUAACCACAGACUACAAAAGACAACUAACUACCGGAGAGAGUAAGAGGGUCAACGAGGCAUCGUUGGUUCUUUGGAACAUCUGUGGGAGAUGGAGGGUUGAAGAAUCAAUGUGAGCCAGUGCUGAAGACCCUGUUUAUUUUGGUAAAGUACAAAGUGAUCUCACUGCUGAGCUCUUGGGUGCAUUUAGCUCAAACACCAUUUAACCACUUGCCGCCCGCCCACUGUCAAAUGACGGCUGGGCGGUGUAACUCAUGUUCUGGGUGGAUGUCAUAUGAUAUACACCAAAAAACCGCGCUAUCACAACACCGUAAAUUCAGGCAGCAGCUAGCGUGUGAUGACAAGAAAAUAAAACAAUAUAAAAAGCCGCGCCAGAUAUCAAAAACAAAUGAAUAUAGUAGUUAAACAGUCCACAGAUGGUAUAAGUAGUAGUGGAUUUUAGAUUGGUUCUCCAGCAAAGACAGAAUCACUGUAUUGAUCAGAGGCUGAUUUGCAUGUAGAGAUGUUAGCUUUUCAAUGCACCAGGUGACAUG